RNAcentral lists this long non-coding RNA (1409 nucleotides) under Gossypium raimondii (Peruvian cotton). RNAcentral describes it as "long non-coding RNA (GRAI_LNC006219)". Lineage: Eukaryota; Viridiplantae; Streptophyta; Magnoliopsida; Malvales; Malvaceae. The record is from RNAcentral.
AAGAAAACGGAAUUGGAUCGGGGGAAGUCAAAAGUAGUCGAGUAGUCGACUGUGUUCGUCGAUAUCCGAGGUAAGUCUAAUAGCAAUUUAAAUGUUAUUAAAUUGGAAUUUAUAUAAAUAUAUCUAUCAUACAUUUAGUAAGCUGGUACUAAAAGUAUAUAAAUUGAAUAAAACUUGAUGAUUUUUCUAUGUGAAAGCCGAACAUAGAAAUUGAUUUUGGGAGGUUAAAAUUAAUGGUAUAAAUUACAUGUAUAUUAAUUAAAGUAUGCUUUAAGUUCAAUGAUAUGAAACUAAUAGUAGAAUUUACAUGGAUAUGUAGUUCGAAUGUAAGAUUUAAUUUCAUGAGUUGAUUUAAAGUUAUGAAUUAUAUAUAUAUAGUUGAAUGUAUGAUACAAGUUCUUUGAGUUGAACUUAAUAUUAUGAAAUAUAUAUAUAUAUAUAUAUACACAUACGGUUUGAAUAUAUAUAUAUUUUAAAGUUCUUGAGCUGAAAUUAAUGUACGAAUUUUAUAUACACAUGUGAUUCAAAUAUAGGUUAUAAAGUUCUUGAGCUGAAUUUAAUUUAUGAAUUUUACAUACAUAUGUGUAUGGUUCGAAUAUAGGUUACAAAUUCUUUGAACUGAAUUUUAAUGUUGUAAAUUAUACGCAAGAUCAUCUUUGUAUUUGAGAUUUUCAGGCUUAAUGCCUAGCAGGCUUGAUGUCGGUGAAUUAAUUCAGACUUUAUGUCUAGCAGGCUUUGUGCCGGUGAAAUGUAUCAGGCUUUGUGCCUAGCAGGCUUUAUGCCAGUGCUUUAUACAAGGCUCUAUGUUCUAUAAAUCUUAUGUGGGCAAUAGUAAAAGCAAAUAAAGGUGUUAAGAAAGCUAAAUUAUUCAGGUAUGUGUUAGCCACUUGCUUAAUUAGUGUUAAGGUAGGUUGAUUAUUUUUAAAUUGAUAACAGUUUCAAAUGAAAUAUAGAGUAUGAGUUAACCAUUUGAGUAUAAACAUAUUUUGGCAUAAUGAUUUAUUGAAUAUUUGGCUUUGCUAAAUAUUUAUGUGUAUUUGGCCAUAUGGUUUGUUUAUAUGAAAAUUUAAUGUGAUUUUAUUUAAAGCGUUAUAUGAUACAAAAUAUUAGGAUCUUUGGUUUAUUUUAACUUAAUGAUGGAAUAAGUAUUAAUAUAAAUAUAUAUAUAUAUAUAUAUAUAUGAAUUUCUGUUUAUGACUUACUAAGCUUUAAUAGCUUAUUAUGUGUGUUUUUGUUUACCUCGGUUUUAUAGAUUUUGGAAUCGUGUUACGAGCUCGGGGAUCAUCAGCAAGCCUAUCACACUAUCGACUGUUUUCUUCGGUAUUUUACUAAGUUAAAUUUUGAGCUUAUGGCAUGUAUAGUCUGGAUAAAAUAAUUGAUUUUGGAACUUGUAUGUAUAUAGCCAUGCG